This is a non-coding RNA of Spirochaetes bacterium GWB1_66_5, 175 nucleotides long. The record is from Rfam. Lineage: Bacteria; Pseudomonadati; Spirochaetota.
CCGUCAGAGAUGACGGGUCCGGAGGAAGCAUGAGGUAGAACCUGCGUACGUAGCGAACAGCGAACCGGCUAUAUGGCAUCGGGGAGAGGGUCGAGCAGGCUUGGGCGAGCGAGACCCGGUAUCCGGCAGUAUCGAACCGAUGUGAAGCCGGACGGCAUGCGGGGAGGUCGCACGC